Non-coding RNA from Hydra vulgaris (swiftwater hydra), 329 nucleotides. Lineage: Eukaryota; Metazoa; Cnidaria; Hydrozoa; Anthoathecata; Hydridae. The record is from RefSeq and is a predicted model, not a curated record.
UAUAAGGCAGAAAGAGCUAGAGAAGUUAAGCAAUAGACGUUUCAGUAUAACGGUAUUUGCUAUAUAAUAAUUAAUGCCAAAUCCUCAUUGCCGAUACUGUUUAUCAGAAAGAUCACAGUAAGUGUUAAAUCUGGUUAAAAAGUGAGAAUGAGGUCUUUACAAUAAAAUCGAUUGUCAAGACCUCCGAUUUACUAAACUAAAGUAAAUUAAAAGCUUGCGGGACUCUCCACAAGAAGAACUUUGUAGAAUUUUUAUUUUUCACAAGUUGUAACAAGAGUCAACCUUUGUAUUAUAUGAAAUGAUGCAAAGGCCUAAAUUACCAAGAUAAA